AAAAAUCAGAAAUGGCAACUGGUUCUUCUUCUCGUCCUCCACAGAAAACCUACGAUCUCGAAAUCACCAUCGUCUCCGCCAAGCAUCUGAAAAAUGUCAAUUGGCAUCACGGCGAUCUCAAGCCCUAUGUUAUCUUUUGGGUCGACCCGGAUCAACGACGCGCCACACAAGCUGAUGAUUCCGGCAAUACCCGACCCGUUUGGAACGAACGAUUCGUCCUCCAUCUUCCCCAAUCUCAAUCUCCUCCUCACGAUGCUGUUCUUACUCUUGAGGUCUUCCAUUCAAAACCUUCGGAAACUCCCAAACCUUUAGUCGGUACACUUAGGGUUCCGUUGAAGGAACUGGUUAACGUCGACGAUUUCAACAAAAUCAGAACUUUUGAGCUCCGGCGACCUUCCGGUCGGCCUCAUGGUAAGAUCCGACUCAAGCUUGCUAUUCGUGAAUUAUCUCCACCCCUCGAUUACCAAAUACCCCCUCCUUGUAGUUAUUAUUACUCUACUGCCCCCCCUCCUCCUCCCCCUUCCUACAGAGCAUUUCCUUCUUCCCCAUACCCCUCACACCCUCAUCCUCCUCCGUCGCCUGUAGUUGCACCGCCGCCACCUGCUUCUCCAUCACCACCACCUCCUCCUCCGCAGCAACAUUCUUUUCCUUACAGUGGAUUCGCUGAUCCUUACUCUAGUUACUUCCCUGGGUAUUACUCUCAACCUCCCCCUCCUCCACGACCAUUUGUUGAGCGGCAAUCUAGCUAUAACAGUUUGGGCUCGAGGCCAAGCGCCCCUGUUGAUUAUUACCCUCCUUAUGAUCAGAAGCGUAGUGGGAAAAUGGGGACGGGGUUAGGCACCGGAUUGGCGGUUGGAGCAGUGGCUGGUACAUUGGGAGGAUUGACAUUAGGGGAAGGAUUGAAGUAUGAAGAAGCCAAGAUUGCAGAGAGAGUUGAAAACAACAUAGCAACCAGAGAUGAUUACAGCAAUUACAGUGAAUAUUGAUGCUGAUGCUUCUCACUGGAUGAAGUUCUCUAUACUAAUGGGUAAUCAAUCUUGCGCUGUAUUUUGUAUAUAUAAAGCUCGUUCAUUUUCAAUGGAUUCCUCCUCUUAAUGAUAUGAUGAAUUAUGUCAGUUCAGCUGUUUUUGAGUUUCUUCUAUGAAGGAUUCUACUGGUAGACUGAUAUAUGUAAUUCUACUUCUAUCUGGUUGUUUCAUGAUGUAGCGUGGUAUGUUCGAUGAAUGUAUUGUUUGGAUAGAUUAUUAUAUCGUUUUUAACCUAACUCGUAAUAUCAUGGAUGCAUUUAUCUA
This 1292-nucleotide unclassified non-coding RNA is filed under the name Hevea brasiliensis (rubber tree). Lineage: Eukaryota; Viridiplantae; Streptophyta; Magnoliopsida; Malpighiales; Euphorbiaceae. The record is from RNAcentral.